UAGGGAAUCUUCCGCAAUGGGCGAAAGCUUGACGGAGCAACGCCGCGUGAGUGAUGAAGGUCUUCGGAUCGUAAAACUCUGUUAUUAGGGAAGAACAAAUGUGUAAGUAACUAUGCACGUCUUGACGGUACCUAAUCAGAAAGCCACGGCUAACUACGUGCCAGCAGCCGCGGUAAUACGUAGGUGGCAAGCGUUAUCCGGAAUUAUUGGGCGUAAAGCGCGCGUAGGCGGUUUUUUAAGUCUGAUGUGAAAGCCCACGGCUCAACCGUGGAGGGUCUUUGGAAACUGGAAAACUUGAGUGCAGAAGAGGAAAGUGGAAUUCCAUGUGUAGCGGUGAAAUGCGCAGAGAUAUGGAGGAACACCAGUGGCGAAGGCGACUUUCUGGUCUGUAACUGACGCUGAUGUGCGAAAGCGUGGGGAUCAAACAGG
This 429-nucleotide ribosomal RNA is filed under the name Actinomycetes bacterium. Its description in RNAcentral is "Actinobacteria bacterium partial 16S ribosomal RNA". It matches the Rfam family "Bacterial small subunit ribosomal RNA", at positions 355 to 776 of the family's 1533-position model. Lineage: Bacteria; Bacillati; Actinomycetota; Actinomycetes. The record is from RNAcentral.